AUUGAACGCUGGCGGCAUGCUUUACACAUGCAAGUCGAACGGCAGCACAGGGAGCUUGCUCCUGGGUGGCGAGUGGCGAACGGGUGAGUAAUGUAUCGGAACGUGCCUGGUAGUGGGGGAUAACUACUCGAAAGAGUGGCUAAUACCGCAUGAGAUCUUUGGAUGAAAGCGGGGGACCUUCGGGCCUCGUGCUACUGGAGCGGCCGAUAUCAGAUUAGGUUGUUGGUGGGGUAAAGGCCUACCAAGCCUGCGAUCUGUAGCUGGUCUGAGAGGACGACCAGCCACACUGGAACUGAGACACGGCCCAGACUCCUACGGGAGGCAGCAGUGGGGAAUUUUGGACAAUGGGCGCAAGCCUGAUCCAGCAAUGCCGCGUGCAGGACGAAGGCCUUCGGGUUGUAAACUGCUUUUGUACAGAACGAAAAGUCUCUGGCUAAUAUCUAGAGAUCAUGACGGUACUGUAAGAAUAAGCACCGGCUAACUACGUG
Molecule: ribosomal RNA, 488 nt
Filed under: uncultured bacterium
Lineage: Bacteria
Description: partial 16S ribosomal RNA
Rfam family: Bacterial small subunit ribosomal RNA
Source: RNAcentral